CAGCUCCAAUAUGGGGCCACAGCCUUCCACACCUGGGCCUUCGGGAGAUGCUCAGAACCCAGCCUACAGCACACCCUCCCCACGGUCAUUUCAGAGUUCGAGGUGCACUAUCUGGAGCUUGGGAAGGACAGGAAGAUGACAAUGAGCUGAGCUGUGGCCAACGCUCAGUCCAGGGAGCACCCUCUGCUCCUCUGUUUGAGCUGAUGAAGCCCCCCAACGUUGACUUGGCUGCUAAGACUGAUUUCCCCAGACCCAUGAAGAAAGGCCCCAGCCCUGAGUGGCUCCCUGCUUUGGAAAAUAACGUCAGUGACAACCCUGUGCAGGCACAGUCCAGGGAAGAGAGGCUCUGGGGUUGGCAUGCCCCUGCCCUCCCUGGGCCUUUCUGCAAGUGAGGAGUGGACCAUGGCGGUGGGUGGGCAGAAGGACGUCUGUAUACCCUUCCUGGAAGCCCCGCCUAGCCCUCAAGAGGUUCUUGAUCCAAGGAGGAGGACAUGGUGAGAGACAGCAUGUAAACCAAAGAAGCAUCAUCUUUCCUCAGGCUCAAGAAAAAAUAGAAUCACUAGGCAUGGUGGCACACACCUGUGAUCCCAGCACUCAGGAAGCAGAGGCAGGAGGAUCGCCAGGAGUUCAAGCCCAGCCUGAAUUACAGAGCAAGACCCUGUCUCAAAAGGGG
Molecule: long non-coding RNA, 673 nt
Filed under: Heterocephalus glaber (naked mole-rat)
Lineage: Eukaryota; Metazoa; Chordata; Mammalia; Rodentia; Bathyergidae
Description: lncRNA (ENSHGLG00000038281.1)
Source: RNAcentral